This 342-nucleotide unclassified non-coding RNA is filed under the name soil metagenome. Its description in RNAcentral is "partial contains 5.8S ribosomal RNA, internal transcribed spacer 2, and large subunit ribosomal RNA". The stretch from base 1 to 120 matches the Rfam family "5.8S ribosomal RNA", at positions 35 to 154 of the family's 154-position model. The record is from RNAcentral.
GAUGAAGAACGCAGCGAAAUGCGAUACGUAAUGUGAAUUGCAGAAUUCAGUGAAUCAUCGAGUCUUUGAACGCACAUUGCGCCCCCUGGUAUUCCGGGGGGCAUGCCUGUCCGAGCGUCAUUGCUGCCCUCAAGCACGGCUUGUGUGUUGGGCCUCCGUCCCCCCGGGGACGGGUCCGAAAGGCAGCGGCGGCACCGAGUCCGGUCCUCGAGCGUAUGGGGCUUUGUCACCCGCUCUGUAGGCCCGGCCGGCGCCAGCCGACAACCAAUCAUCCUUUUUUCAGGUUGACCUCGGAUCAGGUAGGGAUACCCGCUGAACUUAAGCAUAUCAAUAAGCGGAGGA